RNAcentral lists this ribosomal RNA (615 nucleotides) under uncultured Desulfobacteraceae bacterium. Its description in RNAcentral is "bacterial SSU rRNA". It matches the Rfam family "Bacterial small subunit ribosomal RNA", at positions 29 to 611 of the family's 1533-position model. Lineage: Bacteria; Pseudomonadati; Thermodesulfobacteriota; Desulfobacteria; Desulfobacterales; Desulfobacteraceae. The record is from RNAcentral.
AUGAACGCUGUCGGCGUGCUUAACACAUGCAAGUCGAACGAGAAAUCCUCUGCUUGCAGGGGAGAGUAAAGUGGCGCACGGGUGAGUAUCGCUGGGUAAUUUACCCUUGAAUUCAGGAUAACACUUCGAAGGGGGUGCUAAUACUGGGUAACAUCCUGAUGGUUUCGGCCAUAAGGAUCAAAGAUAGCCUCUACAAGUGAAAGCUCACNGCUCAGGGUGGGCCCGCGUACCAUUAGCUNGUUGGUGCGGGUACGGAGCCACCAAGGCAGACGAUCGGUUAGCUGGUCUGAGAGGAUGAUCAGCCACACUGGCACACUGAAACACGGUCCAGACUCCUACGGGAGGCAGCAGUGAGGAAUUUUGGCAAUGGGCGAAACCCUGAACCAGCCGCCCGCGUGAGUGAAGAAGGCCUUUCGGGUCGUAAAGCUUUGUCAAGGGGGAAGAAANUGGGAGAUGGUGUACUGUUUUCUAUUGACGGUACCUCUGAAGGAAGCACCGGCUAACUCCGUGCCAGCAGCCGCGGUAAUACAGGGGGGUGCAAGCGUUAUUCGGAUUUAUUGGGCGUAAAGAGCGCGUAGCCGGCUUUAUCAAGUCAGAUGUGACAGCCUGGCCUCA